ACGCUCGACACCUACGGGACAGCAGUGGGGAAUGUUGCACAAUGGGGGAAACCCUGAUGCAGCGACGCCGCGUGAGCGAAGAAGUAUUUCGGUAUGUAAAGCUCUAUCAGCAGGGAAGAAACUGACGGUACCUGACUAAGAAGCACCGGCUAAAUACGUGCCAGCAGCCACGGUAAUCUGAGCGGGCUGGCAAGGC
RNAcentral lists this ribosomal RNA (196 nucleotides) under uncultured bacterium. RNAcentral describes it as "partial 16S ribosomal RNA". It matches the Rfam family "Bacterial small subunit ribosomal RNA", at positions 326 to 539 of the family's 1533-position model. The record is from RNAcentral.